RNAcentral lists this long non-coding RNA (1361 nucleotides) under Homo sapiens (human). Its description in RNAcentral is "non-protein coding lnc-HRCT1-5:1". The record is from RNAcentral. Lineage: Eukaryota; Metazoa; Chordata; Mammalia; Primates; Hominidae.
GCAGGCUGGAAUCACAGGGCCGUGAAAACAAAGUGCUGGUGAAGCGGGCAUGGGGAGGGAGCCUGGCCUCCCUCUGCAGGAGACAGGCUGUCUGCCAAGCCCGGCACGCUCUUCAUUUGUUCACCUGCCCAUCUGCCCAUCCAUCCACCCACCCAUCCAUCUACUCCUGGAGUAGAUGCCGCCUCACUUACCCAUGCAUUCAUUCACUUAUUCAUUCACUCCUCCGUUCAGUAAACACUGACUGGGCACUGACUGUGUACCCAGCCCGGCCAAGGGAACGUGGGGGUCAACUGGACAUUUGGAUCCCGUGGACUCCUAGAUAAGGCUGUAUGUGUGUGGUGUGUUUUAUGUGGGUAUGAUGAGUAUGUGGUGUGUGUGUAAGCUGUAUAUGUGUAGUGAGUGUGUGUGGUGUGUGUUUUUGUAUUCUGUGAUGUGUGUGUAAGCUGUAUGUGUGUAGUGAGUGUGUGUGUUUUUGUUUGCUGUGGUGUGUGUGUAAGCUGUAUGUGUGUAGUGAGUGUGUUGUGUGUGUAAGUUGUAUGUGUGUAGUGAGUGUGUGUGUUUUUGUUUGCUGUGGUGUGUGUGUAAGCUGUAUGUGUGUAGUGUGUGUGUUUUUGUAUGCUGUGGUGUGUGUGUAAGCUGUAUGUGUGUAGUGUGUGUGUUUUUGUAUGCUGUAGUGUGUGUGUAAGUUGUAUGUGUGUAGUGUGUGUGUUUUUGUAUGCUGUGGUGUGUGUGUAAGCUGUAUGUGUGUAGUGUGUGUGUUUUUGUAUGCUGUGGUGUGUGUGUAAGCUGUAUGUGUGUAGUGUGUGUGUUUUUGUAUGCUGUAGUGUGUGUGUAAGUUGUAUGUGUGUAGUGAGUGUGUGUGUUUUUGUUUGCUGUGGUGUGUGUGUAAGUUGUAUGUGUGUAGUGAGUGUGUGUUUUUGUAUGCUGUAGUGUGUGUGUAAGCUGUAUGUGUGUAGUGAGUGUGUGUGUUUUUGUAUGCUGUAGUGUGUGUGUAAGCUGUAUGUGUGUAGUGAGUGUGUGUGUUUUUGUUUGCUGUGGUGUGUGUGUAAGUUGUAUGUGUGUGGUGAGUGUGUGUGUUUUUGUAUGCUGUGGUGUGUGUGUAAGUUGUAUGUGUGUAGUGUGUGUUUUUGUAUUCUGUGAUGUGUGUGUAAGCUGUAUGUGUGUAGUGAGUGUGUGUGUUUUUGUAUGCUGUGGUGUGUGUGUAAGUUGUAUGUGUGUAGUGAGUGUGUGUGUUUUUGUAUGCUGUAGUGUGUGUUGGCCCCAGGUACCCCUGCCAUUCUCCGCAGUGUAGCCUGCUGUAUAAGAAGCAGGAGGGGCCCAGCAACAGGGCAGCGGAAGCCUCUUGCUAUGACGGUGGCCUC